Molecule: ribosomal RNA, 445 nt
Filed under: uncultured bacterium
Lineage: Bacteria
Description: partial 16S ribosomal RNA
Rfam family: Bacterial small subunit ribosomal RNA
Source: RNAcentral
GUAAGGAAUAUUGGGCAAUGGGCGCAAGCCUGACCCAGCCAUGCCGCGUGAAGGAUGACGGCCCUAUGGGUUGUAAACUUCUUUUGUACGGGAAAAAACCACCGGUCGUGACCGGUGCUGAUGGUACCGUAAGAAUAAGCAUCGGCUAACUCCGUGCCAGCAGCCGCGGUAAUACGGAGGAUGCAAGCGUUAUCCGGAUUCAUUGGGUUUAAAGGGUGCGCAGGCGGAAUAAUAAGUCAGUGGUGAAAUCCUACGGCUCAACUGUAGAACUGCCAUUGAUACUGUUAUUCGUGAGUACACUUGAAGUGGGCGGAAUGUGUCAUGUAGCGGUGAAAUGCUUAGAUAUGACACAGAACACCGAUUGCGAAGGCAGCUCACUAAGCAAAUAUUGACGCUGAGGCACGAAAGCGUGGGGAUCAAACAGGAUUAGAUACCCCUGUAGUCC